UCGUGGAGUGAUCUGUCUGCUUAAUUGCGUUUCGCAAAAGGUCAUCACUAACGCUUACUGAGCACCUAACGUUCGCGUUCACCUCUUACACCACUGUUGGUUAACUGAGUUCAUAACCUAACCUCGUUUUCUCUCUUGCUCGGGGAGGAGUUUUCGCCCUCUUUGUUCGCGUGUUGCGGUGAGCACCCUUCACCGGGUGUUCCCCCAUGCCAAAGAGAGGAGUUUUCUCUUUUCCAGUA
This 239-nucleotide ribosomal RNA is filed under the name uncultured eukaryote. RNAcentral's name for it is "partial 18S ribosomal RNA". The record is from RNAcentral.